This 82-nucleotide transfer RNA is filed under the name bacterium. RNAcentral's name for it is "tRNA-Leu". It matches the Rfam family "tRNA". From Rfam's summary of the family: Transfer RNA (tRNA) molecules are approximately 80 nucleotides in length. Their secondary structure includes four short double-helical elements and three loops (D, anti-codon, and T loops). Further hydrogen bonds mediate the characteristic L-shaped molecular structure. tRNAs have two regions of fundamental functional importance: the anti-codon, which is responsible for specific mRNA codon recognition, and the 3' end, to which the tRNAs corresponding amino acid is attached (by aminoacyl-tRNA synthetases). tRNAs cope with the degeneracy of the genetic code in two manners: having more than one tRNA (with a specific anti-codon) for a particular amino acid; and 'wobble' base-pairing, i.e. permitting non-standard base-pairing at the 3rd anti-codon position. The record is from RNAcentral.
GGGCUGGUGCUGAAAUUGGCAGACAGGCACGGCUUAGGACCGUGUGUCGUAAGACAUGGAGGUUCGAGUCCUCUCCAGCCCA